CCUGUACAGGGGGAUAACACUUAGAAAUAGGUGCUAAUACCGCAUAAGCGCACAGUAUCGCAUGAUACAGUGUGAAAAACUCCGGUGGUACAGGAUGGACCCGCGUCUGAUUAGCUGGUUGGCGGGGUAACGGCCCACCAAGGCGACGAUCAGUAGCCGGCCUGAGAGGGUGAACGGCCACAUUGGGACUGAGACACGGCCCAAACUCCUACGGAAGGCAGCAG
RNAcentral lists this ribosomal RNA (224 nucleotides) under uncultured bacterium. Its description in RNAcentral is "partial 16S ribosomal RNA". It matches the Rfam family "Bacterial small subunit ribosomal RNA", at positions 130 to 354 of the family's 1533-position model. The record is from RNAcentral.